ACAAUCAUAUCACGUUCAAGCACCGGUUCCCGUACGAUCACCGAAGUUAAGCAACGUCGAGUCUGGGCAGUACCAAGAUAGGCGACCGCUUGGGUAAUACCAGGUGCUAUA
Molecule: non-coding RNA, 111 nt
Organism: Acanthosepion pharaonis
Lineage: Eukaryota; Metazoa; Mollusca; Cephalopoda; Sepiida; Sepiidae
Source: the annotation of a GenBank genome assembly